UAAAAUAAAAUAUUACAUUAAAUAAAAUAUAAAAAUAAAAGUUAAAUAAAUUAAAUAAAACAUUAAGGAAAGUAAAAAAUAUUUUUUUGGUAUUUUUAUGAAUAAAUAAAAUAUUUUUAUUAAUUAAAAAGCAAAACAGAAAAUAAAAUAAGAAUUAAAAAAAAUGAAAAAUAAAAUGAAUGGAUAAUGGUUGAUGGGCUUGAAUGUGAGAG
Molecule: long non-coding RNA, 212 nt
Filed under: Lathyrus oleraceus (garden pea)
Lineage: Eukaryota; Viridiplantae; Streptophyta; Magnoliopsida; Fabales; Fabaceae
Description: Pisum sativum (pea) long non-coding RNA (PSAT_LNC025030)
Source: RNAcentral